This 253-nucleotide ribosomal RNA is filed under the name uncultured bacterium. Its description in RNAcentral is "partial 16S ribosomal RNA". It matches the Rfam family "Bacterial small subunit ribosomal RNA", at positions 524 to 776 of the family's 1533-position model. The record is from RNAcentral.
UACGUAGGGACCAAGCGUUGUUCGGAUUUACUGGGCGUAAAGGGCGCGUAGGCGGCUUGACAAGUCACUUGUGAAAUCUCCGGGCUUAACUCGGAACGGCCAAGUGAAACUGUCAUGCUAGAGUGCAGAAGGGGCAAUCGGAAUUCUUGGUGUAGCGGUGAAAUGCGUAGAUAUCAAGAGGAACACCAGAGGUGAAGACGGGUUGCUGGGCUGACACUGACGCUGAGGCGCGAAAGCCAGGGGAGCAAACGGG